Molecule: transfer RNA, 83 nt
Filed under: Daphnia galeata
Lineage: Eukaryota; Metazoa; Arthropoda; Branchiopoda; Diplostraca; Daphniidae
Rfam family: tRNA
About the family: Transfer RNA (tRNA) molecules are approximately 80 nucleotides in length.
Source: Rfam by way of RNAcentral
ACUAGGUUGGCCGAGUGGUUUAAGGCGCCAGACUUAAGAUCUGGUCUCCGAUUGGAGGCGUGGGUCGAACCCCUCACCUGGUA